UAUCGUCAGAUACUUCCUAGACUCUUCCUCCAAAACUACUUGGUUAUAACCUUGAGAUAAGUCCAACUUAGAAAACAUUUCUCCACCAUUUAGCUUAGUGAACAACUCCUCACUUGUCGGAAAAGGGUAUUCCGGAGUAUCCAGGUAUGGAUUUACAGUAACUUUAAAGUCUCCAUAUAUUUGUACAGAUCCAUCAGCGUUCAUUGCUGGGACUAUAGGGUCUGUAAGUCUCGUCAUGUGAUUGCCGAGAUUUAGCGAGAUUAUUAACUUCCGGGUACAUCAACAUCUCAGAUUGCACUGUGUAGAGAGUGGUAUACAUAGAUAGAGCGUUAUCAAUCGAUUGUGUGGAGGUUUUAACGAGAUAAACAUGGGAAUUGAAGCAUUAGUGGAGUGGUCGAGGAUUCUUCGCUUCGUGUAUGACGAGUUACCUGUAAUAACCGCCAGUGUACAAGCAUUGACGAGGGUACGUUUUGCAGAUAAAUAGCAGAUAUAAGAACGCAAAUAAAAUUGUUCAAUGUAAAAUACACCAGUAGUUGGAUAAAACAUCCAAAGUCGGCACAGUCAAAGGUCACAACAACAAUGGAGGAAUUAACUGCAUCCUCAUUCCGCAGGGCAACAGGCCAUUUUCAGCAACCCCUGAAAUACUUAAUUGAGGCUAAGUGCCCAUUUUCAGCUCGAACAAUGACAAACAGGCCGGUGCAAAUGUUGGGAUUUCCCUCUUGAAUGUGAUGCAAGGGAUGGUUCGCUGCACCUCAAAACAAAAUAUGAAUAUUGGCAUCAGCUUCAAGGACAACACCACCUGAAAGACACCCAAUGCUGUGAUUUGCUAGUGUGGAUUCCUAGUGACACUCAAAUAAUUCACAUUGACAAAGAUGUAUUAUGGUCAACCUUUUAAGCGUGAUAGAGUUUAAUUAUAAUUAUGAAGUAUUUUUGCAGUCUAAAACACACACACAUAACCACAUGUACAUAUACUUUAUUAUGAUAUCAGUAGUACAUCUAUCAAAGUUAUGUAAUUACAUGUAUAUUUAUUGAAUAAACAUUAUAGACAGAG
Long non-coding RNA from Ostrea edulis (European flat oyster), 1051 nucleotides. RefSeq lists it as uncharacterized. The record is from RefSeq and is a predicted model, not a curated record. The transcript has 3 exons. NCBI's taxonomy places the organism in Eukaryota, Metazoa, Mollusca, Bivalvia, Ostreida, Ostreidae.